AGUGGCGCGUGCUUACCAUGCAGUCGAACGGUAAGGCCCUUCGGGGUACACGAGUGGCGAACGGGUGAGUAACACGUGGGUGAUCUGCCCUGCACUUUGGGAUAAGCCUGGGAAACUGGGUCUAAUACCGAAUAUGACCUUGGGAUGCAUGUCCUUUGGUGGAAAGCUUUUGCGGUGUGGGAUGGGCCCGCGGCCUAUCAGCUUGUUGGUGGGGUGAUGGCCUACCAAGGCGACGACGGGUAGCCGGCCUGAGAGGGUGACCGGCCACACUGGGACUGAGAUACGGCCCAGACUCCUACGGGAGGCAGCAGUGGGGAAUAUUGCACAAUGGGCGCAAGCCUGAUGCAGCGACGCCGCGUGAGGGACGACGGCCUUCGGGUUGUAAACCUCUUUCAGCACAGACGAAGCGCAAGUGACGGUAUGUGCAGAAGAAGGACCGGCCAACUACGUGCCAGCAGCCGCGGUAAUACGUAGGGUCCGAGCGUUGUCCGGAAUUACUGGGCGUAAAGAGCUCGUAGGUGGUUUGUCGCGUUGUUCGUGAAAACUCACAGCUCAACUGUGGGCGUGCGGGCGAUACGGGCAGACUGGAGUACUGCAGGGGAGACUGGAAUUCCUGGUGUAGCGGUGGAAUGCGCAGAUAUCAGGAGGAACACCGGUGGCGAAGGCGGGUCUCUGGGCAGUAACUGACGCUGAGGAGCGAAAGCGUGGGGAGCGAACAGGAUUAGAUACCCUGGUAGUCCACGCCGUAAACGGUGGGUACUAGGUGUGGGUUUCCUUCCUUGGGAUCCGUGCCGUAGCUAACGCAUUAAGUACCCCGCCUGGGGAGUACGGCCGCAAGGCUAAAACUCAAAGAAAUUGACGGGGGCCCGCACAAGCGGCGGAGCAUGUGGAUUAAUUCGAUGCAACGCGAAGAACCUUACCUGGGUUUGACAUGCACAGGACGCCGGCAGAGAUGUCGGUUCCCUUGUGGCCUGUGUGCAGGUGGUGCAUGGCUGUCGUCAGCUCGUGUCGUGAGAUGUUGGGUUAAGUCCCGCAACGAGCGCAACCCUCGUCCUAUGUUGCCAGCACGUCAUGGUGGGGACUCGUAGGAGACUGCCGGGGUCAACUCGGAGGAAGGUGGGGAUGACGUCAAGUCAUCAUGCCCCUUAUGUCCAGGGCUUCACACAUGCUACAAUGGCCGGUACAAAGGGCUGCGAUGCCGUGAGGUGGAGCGAAUCCUUUCAAAGCCGGUCUCAGUUCGGAUCGGGGUCUGCAACUCGACCCCGUGAAGUCGGAGUCGCUAGUAAUCGCAGAUCAGCAACGCUGCGGUGAAUACGUUCCCGGGCCUUGUACACACCGCCCGUCACGUCAUGAAAGUCGGUAACACCCGAAGCCGGUGGCCUAACCCCUCGUGGGAGGGAGCCGUCGAAGGUGAUCG
RNAcentral lists this ribosomal RNA (1417 nucleotides) under Mycolicibacterium sp. RNAcentral describes it as "bacterial SSU rRNA". It matches the Rfam family "Bacterial small subunit ribosomal RNA". The record is from RNAcentral. Lineage: Bacteria; Bacillati; Actinomycetota; Actinomycetes; Mycobacteriales; Mycobacteriaceae.